UGGGCAACCUGCCCUCAGCUCUGGGAUAACUCCAAGAAAUUGGGGCUAAUACCGGAUGUGACCGCUGACCGCAUGGUCUGGUGGUGGAAAGAUUUAUCGGCUGGGGAUGGGCCCGCGGCCUAUCAGCUUGUUGGUGGGGGUAGCGGCCUAUCAAGGCGACGACGGGUAGUCGGCCUGAGAGGGUGACCGGCCACACUGGGACUGAGACACGGCCCAGACCUCCGUACGGGAG
RNAcentral lists this ribosomal RNA (232 nucleotides) under uncultured bacterium. RNAcentral describes it as "partial 16S ribosomal RNA". It matches the Rfam family "Bacterial small subunit ribosomal RNA", at positions 118 to 347 of the family's 1533-position model. The record is from RNAcentral.